GGGGGCUAGCGUUGCUCGGAAUUACUGGGCGUAAAGGGAGCGUAGGCGGACAGUUAAGUCAGUGGUGAAAGCCCAGGGCUCAACCCUGGAAUUGCCUUUGAUACUGAUUGUCUUGAGUAUGGGAGAGGUAUGCGGAACUCCGAGUGUAGAGGUGAAAUUCGUAGAUAUUCGGAAGAACACCAGUGGCGAAGGCGGCAUACUGGCCCAUUACUGACGCUGAGGCUCGAAAGCGUGGGGAGCAAACAGG
This 247-nucleotide ribosomal RNA is filed under the name uncultured bacterium. RNAcentral describes it as "partial 16S ribosomal RNA". It matches the Rfam family "Bacterial small subunit ribosomal RNA", at positions 530 to 776 of the family's 1533-position model. The record is from RNAcentral.